GUAGGUGGCAAGCGUUGUCCGGAAUCAUUGGGCGUAAAGCGCGCGCAGGCGGUUCUUUAAGUCUGAUGUGAAAGCCCACGGCUCAACCGUGGAGGGUCAUUGGAAACUGGAGAACUUGAGUACAGAAGAGGAAAGCGGAAUUCCACGUGUAGCGGUGAAAUACGUAGAGAUGUGGAGGAACACCAGUGGCGAAGGCGGCUUUCUGGUCUGUAACUGACGCUGAGGCGCGAAAGCGUGGGGAGCAAACAGGAUUAGAUACCCUGGUAGUCCACGCCGUAAACGAUGAGUGCUAAGUGUUAGGGGGGUUUCCGCCCCCCUUAGUGCUGCAGCUAACGCACUAAGCACUCCGCCUGGGAGUACGGCCGCAAGGCUG
RNAcentral lists this ribosomal RNA (373 nucleotides) under uncultured organism. RNAcentral's name for it is "partial 16S ribosomal RNA". It matches the Rfam family "Bacterial small subunit ribosomal RNA", at positions 527 to 896 of the family's 1533-position model. The record is from RNAcentral.